CAAUAGCGUAUAUUAAAGCUGUUGCGGUUAAAAAGCUCGUAGUUGGAUUUCUGUCAAGGACAACUGGUCCGCCCUCCGGGUGAGCACAUAGUUUGGUCUUGGCAUCUUGCUGGAAACUGUUGCUGCGCUGGUUGUGUGGUGCAGCUUUCAGCACUUUCACUUUGAGGAAAUUGGAGUGUUUCAAGCAGGCACAUGCCUUUGGACACAGUAGCAUGGAAUAAUUAGAUUGGGCUUUUGCUCCAACUUGUUGGUUCCUGGAGCUGAGGUGAGAAUCAAUGGGGAUUGUUGGGGGCAUCCGAAUUUAGCCGUCAGAGGUGAAAUUCUUGGAUCUGCUAAAGACGGACAACUGCGAAAGCGUUUGCCCAGGAUGUUUUCAUUGA
This 380-nucleotide ribosomal RNA is filed under the name uncultured eukaryote. Its description in RNAcentral is "partial 18S ribosomal RNA". It matches the Rfam family "Eukaryotic small subunit ribosomal RNA", at positions 592 to 976 of the family's 1831-position model. The record is from RNAcentral.